This 85-nucleotide transfer RNA is filed under the name Felis catus (domestic cat). It matches the Rfam family "tRNA". Rfam says of the family: Transfer RNA (tRNA) molecules are approximately 80 nucleotides in length. Lineage: Eukaryota; Metazoa; Chordata; Mammalia; Carnivora; Felidae. The record is from Rfam by way of RNAcentral.
GCCUGGAUGGCUCAGUUGGUUGAGCAUCUGAUUUCAGCUUAGGUCAUGAUCUCACAGUUCGUGAGUUUGAGCCCCACGUCGGGCU